RNA transcript from Sarcophilus harrisii (Tasmanian devil), 5905 nucleotides. It is a transcript of the gene named leucine rich repeat containing 34, with no coding region annotated. The record is from RefSeq and is a predicted model, not a curated record. Lineage: Eukaryota; Metazoa; Chordata; Mammalia; Dasyuromorphia; Dasyuridae. The transcript is spliced from 13 exons.
UGUUAGAGAGCUCUCCCUCCCCUGGGGGCGGGGCCGAGUUAUUGCUUGGAGGUUGCUAUGGUGCCCAGCCAUGAGCGCCGGGACCUGGCAGACCGAGAAAAAUGGAGGACUUCUUCUUCACCCCGUUGUCGGUGGAAGUUGCAUCAACAUUUAUCGAUCUCCCACAAAAUUAUCAGACUAUGUGUCGACUUUUCCAGAGGGAAGAAAAUCCUUUUCUAUUUCAAACACUCCAGCUCCAAGAAACAGAUUAUAUUAAAAAUUAUAAAGGAUUUCAGGAUGAAAUCACAAUUAAAGUGGCUGGCAAUAACCACUUAAUAACGCCAGUGCAGAGACUUACAGAUAAAGAUUUUGAAGUACUUAUCUAUUCCAUAAAACCGUAUACAAAUAUUACAGGUUUGGAUGUUAGAUAUAACCUCAUAACUGAUUAUGGAGCGCAUCAUGUCGUAAAACUCCUUGAGGAUAUCCAAAAUAUCACUUAUCUAAAUCUUAUGUUUAAUGACAUUGAGACUGAGGGGGGAGAAAUGAUAGCAAAAGCACUUCACAGAAAUACAACUCUCAAAUACCUAAGAAUGACUGGGAACAAGAUUGGAAAUAAAGGUGGAAUGUUUUUUGCUACAAUGCUUCAAAUUAAUUCAUCAUUAGAGAAGUUAGAUUUGGGAGACUGUGAUCUGGAGAUGCAGAGUUUGAUAGCAUUAGCAACUGUAUUAACUAAAAAUACGUCAAUAAAAGGGAUCAACCUAAACCGCCCUCUACUGAAGAGUGAAGAGGAAGAAUCCACCGUCCAUAUAGGCAACAUGUUGCAAAUUAACUCAUCUAUUAUUGAAAUACACUUGUGUAAGCAUGAUAUGAAAAAUUUUGGUAUGGAGCAGUUGUGUAAAGGCCUCCUUCUAAACACUUCUCUACGUUACCUAGAUGUCAGCUGCAACAGAAUAACACGUGAUGCAAUGAAAUAUUUGGGAGAGCUAUUAAAAAGAAAUAAUGUGUUGGAAGUAAUAGAUCUUUCUUCAAACAGAAUUGAAGAUGAAGGCUCUUUGUAUCUGGCUGAAGCUCUGGCUUUUUAUAACACAAGUCUGAAAGCGUUAUCUGUAGUGAGCAAUAACAUAAGUGGAGAGGGACUUAAAGCUUUUUCAGAUGCACUGAAAACAAACACUACACUUUCUAAUUUUUAUAUCUGGGGAAAUAAAUUUGAUAGCGAAACAUGUGUGGCAUUUUCACAUUUAAUAAAGUCGGGUCGUCUAAAACUGGAAAAUAUAGAUGUGGAGCCAUACGUAGUUGAUAACCUUAUGUAUUUUGCUGAGGUCUCUCAUGGCAUUAAAAAACAUUAUUAUUGGACACCCAGUUAUGGAGAAAUUGAAGGUGCUUCAACCAAUGCAGGCUUUGCUAUUGUACCAACAACUCCGCAUCUGUGAAAACAAGUUUCUAACUUCCUGGAAAUACAGUGGGAAAUGUACAUACUACUGAAACAGGCAACUGAGAGGCAACUGUGUAUAGUAGACAGAAAACUGACCUUGCACAGGGGAAGGCUUGCUGGGGUGACCUGGGGCCAAAUACUCAAACUUCUCAGUGCCUUGAGCAAUUUCCUAAAUUAGGAAGAAGGACCAUUCUCUCUUGCAUCCUGCAAUGGUUGGCCGGCCUGCUUGGACUUCUCUUGCCCUGGCAUCAUCUGUUUUCCAUACUGGCAGCAUCUUAACAGAAGUGUUCCCUAGGCCCGGGUUUUCCAGGAAGAAGUCUAAGUGAUGAAAAGAAAUGAAUCUGGAAUAUCUGUUACAUCCUAUAAUUUUGUAGGCUUUUAUAAGCUUGGACAAUUUCUUGGUAAUUUUUUGCCCUGCAGUUUACCAAUCCACUGCUUGACAAAAUUUUUUCACUCAACUAAAUUUAAUGCUCAUUGGUGAAAAGAAAAACUUAAUUUUUCUUUUUAUAAUCAAUUCUUUUCUUCAAGGCCAAAAUAAUUUUUAAUUUUUUUUUCUCCUUGCUGUCUGAUUCAAAAAGGAGCAAUAUACGUAUUUGCAUUCAUAAGAAAUAGAAAUCAUUUUCGAUCUCCAUAGGAUUUCCAAGGAAACUUUUCAUCUUAAAUGCUUCUCAAUAAAAAAUUACACAUGUUUUGGUGCCUUCUUGCACGAGAUUUCAUCUUUAGUCUAGAAGCCAAAAGUUCAGUUUGACUAUUGGAUCAUCGAUGAUGACAUUUUGAUCUGUUUGAGUUUUUAAAGGAGAACAGAAAGUUUACACGGAGGAAUCACCCCAACCUUGCUGAUUUCCUAUUUUGAAACCAAUCAAGAUUAUAAUCAGUCAAUAGAUUCAUCUUCUGCAUCUAAGUUCCAAGUUCCUUGUGACUCAAUAUAGAUCUUCACUAUAUAAAAGAGGUUCUUAAAGCUAGUGGAUUUAGAUAACGUGCAAUAUAACUUGGGAGAAAAUCCUUGAUAUAUUUAUUUGUUAAGUAAAAAUUGCAACUGGUUGAAUGUAUUUUUGUUUUGCAGUAUAAAAACAAGAUAUUGGCAUCAAAUCAGUUAAUAUCCUAAUAUUAGUGACAUAAGUGAGAAGCCCAAGACUUAACCGUUAUGUGGAGCACCUAUUUAAUAACCAAAAUCGAGGUCUUGUGCUUUCUUAGAUAAGUAUGGUUUCAUCUCUAAGAUUGACAACUUAGCCCACCACAUAAAUAGGAAAAACUAUUCAAUGAUCAAUACACAACAAAAGUUAUUCAGACGACUGAUACACAGACUAAAAAUAUUUACCAAACAACACCUGGCAUACCACUGAGUAAAAUAGUUUGCUAAAAUGCAUCUUACUGAAAAUAUACAAAUAAGUAAAAACUCCUUUAAUAAUUAAGCACUUACUAUAUGCCAGGCACCAUACCAAUUGUUGAGGAUAUAGAUUCUUUCCCUGUCCCCAAGAAGCUUACAUCUAAUAGGGAAAGGUAACACAGGAGAGCCUGCCUUGCUAAACUAAACAGCACACAGGAUGGGACUUCAAAGAGCAUGUUCUAAGAACAAGCCAACUGCUGACUUCUCACAACUGUCUCCCCAUUUUUUCUUCCUUAAUUUAACCAAAAACAUUUUAUUACCGCCUCAUAUUACAUAAUUUGUUUUUUUUUAAAUCACAUCAUGUAAUAAUGAUGGAUGACAACAAAUUCAUUUGCAUUAGUGAAUUCAAUAUACAAAAAUUACAUAUAAAACACCAAGAAAUUUUCACCUGCCAAAAUGUGUGUCAACACUAAAAUAAAUUUCAGUAUGAAGUUAAACACAUAGGUACAGUACUUACCAACAAGAAUUAAAUAAUCAAUAAACAUUAAUAACAUAAACUAUAUAAUAUUCCUUUGCAGAAAAAGUCAGUUGUCAUUUUUCAUAAAUGUUAUUACCUAUUUAUGGCAUGGUUCAUAGAACUGAAUUAAAAGUUGAAAUCCCACCUUUAACACUCACCAUGGGCAAAUCAUUUAAUCAUUUAGCCUCAGUUUCCUCAAAUAGAACAUGGGCAUAAUAACUAUAGUGAAACAAAACAAGAUAGUAUACACAAGCUGCUUUAUAAACUUUAAAAUUUGACAUAAAUGUCAAUUAUAAUACAUGCAAAUAUAACAAGAAUCCCUAUUAUUGUAGGUAGAGUAUACUAUCAAGCUCUAAGGCUUGCCAUGUUGACACACAAAGGAUCAUAAAUUUUGUGCAGGAAGGGAACUUCAAAGUCUAGUCCAACCCCUUGAUUUUACAGACAAGGAAACUGAGUCUACAGCAGUUAAGUGAAUUUUUUAAGAUCACCCAGAUCAUAAGUGGCUCCCCACCCAGAACUCUUUCUAUUGCAUUAUAUGACUUAAUUUCUCCUCAUACUACGCCUGCAGUGUAUCUUUGUACCAUCUCUGCCCACAGAUGAGAAAACUGAACUCACAGAAAUUGAUUUGUUCUUAGUACCAGAGCUAUUAAAAGUGCCUGAGGCGGGGCCAACAGUGUAUAUAAAGUAGGUAAUAUUUUUGUUGGUUGUUUCUGAAAUGGUUAUAAUAUAUAUCAAUCCCCUGACUUCUUACCACUCCAAUUCUACAAUAGGCUUCCCUUCAUUUUAGGAUCAAUUUACAUUAACUUACACAACAAAGCAUAGUUAUCUCAAAGAAUUAAACACUGGAUUGUAUCUACCCAACAUUUUCCAUCUGAGUUUUGCUUCCAAAUAGCACUUACCAAGAAAACUGAUUAUGGCUUGAGUUUCAAUUUUUCAACCCUAGGAAGUUUUUGUUUUAGCACAAUGAAAAUCCAAAACUGUGUCUACUAGAUUAGGAGGGAAGGAAGGAGACUCCAUUCCCCACAGAACGGAUGAACCAUAUCAAUCCUCUCAGCUUUUCUCUCUGAGGUAAGUCUUCCCCUCAUUCUUUCCAUUUACUCCUUGCUCUUAAGAUGAGGUGGGCUCAGCCAAUUUGGUCCUUUCUCAAAGCCCUGAUGCCACUGCUCACCAGCCCAGUCUAACUGCCAGUUUCUUUUGAAACUUAGAGAACAUUCAUCUUUCAGGCUUUGUUUUAUUUUCAAAGCAAAGCUGUUGAUCUAUAUUUGAAGUUGAAGUUUUAAAGAUAGGAAGGACUACUUGCUCGCCCUCAGUAGUUUGAUUGGUUCAUAUAGAGAAAGGUGUUCAUCUGUCCACUUCUUUCCUUGAGCUGACCCCUUCAUUUUGAGCUAUAUGGAUAAAUAGAAAACAGCCAUCACUAUAUGGCAGACCAUGUAAAAUCACUCAUGCCUUUCUCGUGUUCCAAGGCUGACAAUCCACUGGAAACCAAAGGUUGCCUCCUACCUUGGGUUCAAAUGGUGUCAAAUAAGAAUUAACAAAUAGCUCUCUCUGAAAUUUCGCCAGGUAUCAUAUUUAAAGGGAUAACUAUAAACAAUGCUAUUUGAAUUUUACAUUUAUCCUAUAUUCAAAAGCGGAUAUUAGGACACACAGUAUCCAUUUUAGCAACUUUGUUCUUGAAGUUAGCAAAAAUUUUCGCUAUCACCAUAUUUUUAGAAGAGUACUUUGUCUAUACCAUAAUUUUUCUGCUAUGCUCUAAAUUCCUUCAAUUAACAACUCUCCUAAAAUAAAAAGGACGGUAUAAAGAAUUACUCAAGUGAAAAAAAAAUCUCUUACACUGACUUUUGGUAACAUUUGAAAAUUACUUUUUAAAAGACAUUAACUUAAAUCAUGGUAAAAAUCAUGGUAUUUUUCUGCUACCAGGUAUUUUUAACCAGUAUUCAGACACUUGUAAAAAAAAAAAAAAAAAAAAACUCAUAGAAGUAGGUGAAAAGUUUACAUGAAAACAUCUCUUAGUUGGCUUAAAAGCCAAGAAAUGUCUAGAACAUAAUUAAAAAAUUAGUACACAUGACAUUAAUUUAAUGUAAUAUAGUUAAGUAUAUCAAGUGUAGUCAUUUCCAUGAAUUCUGUAAACAGCAUAUAGAAAGAAUUUUGUAGGGUACACUAUUUAAUUAUUGCUGCAAUAGAACUAUAUCAGACUUUGAAAAGGUUAAAAUAAUUUUGUAAAAUAGUAUUAAAAAUAAUCUGUAAAUAAAGAACACUAAACAAAUGUUAUUUACAAACAUCUAAAAUGACUGAUAUAUAAAUCUAAGCAUUUUUAGUUGGAAAUCUAAGAAUACAGUAGAAAUAAUCUAAUAUUACAAGUACAAAACAAAUUCACAUAGAAAGUACAUUCCAUCUCUCAGUGUGCUCUUCAGAAUUAACUUGCCCAGUAAUUCAUUGUAAAUAAUCAAUUCAUUUAAAAAUAACAAGUAAUCUCUUCCCACAAUAGCACAUCAUAGAUGUAUUUAGUUUAACAGUUAAAGAUGAACUUACCAUACCCUUUAAUUGUAUGAUCUGACACAUAGGUUAAAAUAUUGUUUUCUUUUUAGACAGGCAAGGUCUACCAUGAAACAACAUACUAAAUUAGUACACAGACUGAAAACAAUAAUAUAGA